UGGUCAGCAACCACCAGAGCUCGCUGGACCUGCUGGGCAUGAUGGAGGUGCUGCCCGAGCGGUGCGUGCCCAUCGCCAAGCGGGAGCUGCUCUACAUGGGCU
Molecule: long non-coding RNA, 102 nt
Organism: Nothoprocta perdicaria
Lineage: Eukaryota; Metazoa; Chordata; Aves; Tinamiformes; Tinamidae
Exons: 2
Source: RefSeq, a predicted model, not a curated record